AUGCAGUCGAGCGGUAGCACAGAGAGCUUGCUCUCGGGUGACGAGCGGCGGACGGGUGAGUAAUGUCUGGGAAACUGCCUGAUGGAGGGGGAUAACUACUGGAAACGGUAGCUAAUACCGCAUAAUGUCGCAAGACCAAAGUGGGGGACCUUCGGGCCUCAUGCCAUCAGAUGUGCCCAGAUGGGAUUAGCUAGUAGGUGGGGUAACGGCUCACCUAGGCGACGAUCCCUAGCUGGUCUGAGAGGAUGACCAGCCACACUGGAACUGAGACACGGUCCAGACUCCUACGGGAGGCAGCAGUGGGGAAUAUUGCACAAUGGGCGCAAGCCUGAUGCAGCCAUGCCGCGUGUGUGAAGAAGGCCUUCGGGUUGUAAAGCACUUUCAGCGGGGAGGAAGGCGAUAAGGUUAAUAACCUUGUCGAUUGACGUUACCCGCAGAAGAAGCACCGGCUAACUCCGUGCCAGCAGCCGCGGUAAUACGGAGGGUGCAAGCGUUAAUCGGAAUUACUGGGCGUAAAGCGCACGCAGGCGGUCUGUCAAGUCGGAUGUGAAAUCCCCGGGCUCAACCUGGGAACUGCAUUCGAAACUGGCAGGCUAGAGUCUUGUAGAGGGGGGGUAGAAUUCCAGGUGUAGCGGUGAAAUGCGUAGAGAUCUGGAGGAAUACCGGUGGCCGAAGGCGGACCCCUGCACAAAGACUGACGCUCAGGUGCGAAAGCGUGAGAGCAAACAGGAUUAGAUACCCUG
RNAcentral lists this ribosomal RNA (743 nucleotides) under Klebsiella pneumoniae. Its description in RNAcentral is "bacterial SSU rRNA". It matches the Rfam family "Bacterial small subunit ribosomal RNA", at positions 55 to 789 of the family's 1533-position model. Lineage: Bacteria; Pseudomonadati; Pseudomonadota; Gammaproteobacteria; Enterobacterales; Enterobacteriaceae. The record is from RNAcentral.